Molecule: signal recognition particle RNA, 293 nt
Filed under: Saimiri boliviensis boliviensis (Bolivian squirrel monkey)
Lineage: Eukaryota; Metazoa; Chordata; Mammalia; Primates; Cebidae
Description: Metazoan signal recognition particle RNA (ENSSBOG00000009609.1)
Rfam family: Metazoan signal recognition particle RNA
About the family: The signal recognition particle (SRP) is a universally conserved ribonucleoprotein. It is involved in the co-translational targeting of proteins to membranes.
Source: RNAcentral
GCCAGGCACAGAGGUGCGUGCCUAUAGUCCCCUGGGAGGCUGAGGUGGGAGGAUCUCUUGAGUCCAGGAGUUCUGGGCUGUAGUAUGCUAUGCCAAUCAGGCGUCCACACUAAGUUCGGCAUCAAUAUGAUGACCUCCCAGGAGCAGGGGACCACCAGGUUGCCUAAGGAGGGGUGAACCGGUUCAGGUCGGAAAUGGAGCAGGUCAAAACUCCUGUGCUGAUCAGUAGUGGGAUCACGCCUGUGAAUAGCCACUGCACUCCAGCCUGGGCAACAUAGCAAGACCCCGUCUUU